AGAGUUUGAUCCUGGCUCAGGACGAACGCUGGCGGCGUGCUUAACACAUGCAAGUCGAACGAAAAUACCAAGCUUGCUUGGUUGAUUAGUGGCGAACGGGUGAGUAACACGUGAGUAACCUGCCCCUUACUUUCCUGGAUAACUGCUCGAAAGGGUAGCUAAUACGGGAUAUUCUGACCAUCCUGCAUGGGUUGGUUUGGAAAGGUUGUUUUUCUGGUAAGGGAUGGGCUCGCGGCCUAUCAGCUUGUUGGUGGGGUGAUGGCCUACCAAGGCUUUGACGGGUAGCCGGCCUGAGAGGGUGGACGGUCACACUGGGACUGAGAUACGGCCCAGACUCCUACGGGAGGCAGCAGUGGGGAAUAUUGCACAAUGGGCGCAAGCCUGAUGCAGCGACGCCGCGUGAGGGAUGAAGGCCUUCGGGUUGUAAACCUCUUUCGUCAGGGAACAAGGCACUACGUUUUGGUGGUGUUGAGGGUACCUGGAUAAGAAGCGCCGGCUAACUACGUGCCAGCAGCCGCGGUAAUACGUAGGGCGCAAGCGUUGUCCGGAAUUAUUGGGCGUAAAGAGCUCGUAGGCGGCUGGUCGCGUCUGUCGUGAAAACUUCCGGCUCAACCGGGGGCUUGCGGUGGGUACGGGCCGGCUAGAGUGCGGUAGGGGUAACUGGAACUCCUGGUGUAGCGGUGGAAUGCGCAGAUAUCAGGAAGAACACCGAUGGCGAAGGCAGGUUACUGGGCCGUUACUGACGCUGAGGAGCGAAAGCGUGGGGAGCGAACAGGAUUAGAUACCCUGGUAGUCCACGCUGUAAACGUUGGGCACUAGGUGUGAGGCUCCUUUCCGGGGGUUUUGCGCCGUAGCUAACGCAUUAAGUGCCCCGCCUGGGGAGUACGGCCGCAAGGCUAAAACUCAAAGGAAUUGACGGGGGCCCGCACAAGCGGCGGAGCAUGCGGAUUAAUUCGAU
RNAcentral lists this ribosomal RNA (958 nucleotides) under human oral metagenome. Its description in RNAcentral is "bacterial SSU rRNA". It matches the Rfam family "Bacterial small subunit ribosomal RNA", at positions 8 to 955 of the family's 1533-position model. The record is from RNAcentral.